RNAcentral lists this ribosomal RNA (497 nucleotides) under uncultured bacterium. RNAcentral describes it as "partial 16S ribosomal RNA". It matches the Rfam family "Bacterial small subunit ribosomal RNA", at positions 28 to 507 of the family's 1533-position model. The record is from RNAcentral.
GAUGAACGCUGGCGGCGUGCCUAAUACAUGCAAGUCGAGCGAACGGACGAGAAGCUUGCUUCUCUGAUGUUAGCGGCGGACGGGUGAGUAACACGUGGAUAACCUACCUAUAAGACUGGGAUAACUUCGGGAAACCGGAGCUAAUACCGGAUAAUAUUUUGAACCGCAUGGUUCAAAAGUGAAAGACGGUCUUGCUGUCACUUGUAGAUGGAUCCGCGCUGCAUUAGCUAGUUGGUAAGGUAACGGCUUACCAAGGCAACGAUGCAUAGCCGACCUGAGAGGGUGAUCGGCCACACUGGAACUGAGACACGGUCCAGACUCCUACGGGAGGCAGCAGUAGGGAAUCUUCCGCAAUGGGCGAAAGCCUGACGGAGCAACGCCGCGUGAGUGAUGAAGGUCUUCGGAUCGUAAAACUCUGUUAUUAGGGAAGAACAUAUGUGUAAGUAACUGUGAACAUCUUGACGGUACCUAAUCAGAAAGCCACGGCUAACUACGUG